RNAcentral lists this ribosomal RNA (563 nucleotides) under uncultured bacterium. RNAcentral's name for it is "partial 16S ribosomal RNA". It matches the Rfam family "Bacterial small subunit ribosomal RNA", at positions 355 to 909 of the family's 1533-position model. The record is from RNAcentral.
UGGGGAAUUUUGGACAAUGGGCGAAAGCCUGAUCCAGCAAUGCCGCGUGUGUGAAGAAGGCCUUCGGGUUGUAAAGCACUUUUGUCCGGAAAGAAAUCCUUGGCUCUAAUACAGUCGGGGGAUGACGGUACCGGAAGAAUAAGCACCGGCUAACUACGUGCCAGCAGCCGCGGUAAUACGUAGGGUGCAAGCGUUAAUCGGAAUUACUGGGCGUAAAGCGUGCGCAGGCGGUUUGCUAAGACCGAUGUGAAAUCCCGGGCUCAACCUGGGAACUGCAUUGGUGACUGGCAGGCUAGAGUAUGGCAGAGGGGGGUUAGAAUUCCACGUGUAGCAGUGAAAUGCGUAGAGAUGUGGAGGAAUACCGAUGGCGAAGGCAGCCCCCUGGGCCAAUACUGACGCUCAUGCACGAAAGCGUGGGGGAGCAAAACAGGAUUAGAUACCCUGGUAGUCCACGCCCUAAACGAUGUCAACUAGUUGUUGGGGAUUCAUUUCCUUAGUAACGUAGCUAACGCGUGAAGUUGACCGCCUGGGGAGUACGGUCGCAAGAUUAAAACUUAAAGGAA